AGCUCCGUGGUGAAGAAACAUGUUGGAUUGCAAAUCCAGAGACGUAGAUCAAUAGUCUGCCGGGGCUU
This 68-nucleotide transfer RNA is filed under the name Hemiculter leucisculus (sharpbelly). RNAcentral describes it as "tRNA-Cys". It matches the Rfam family "tRNA". From Rfam's summary of the family: Transfer RNA (tRNA) molecules are approximately 80 nucleotides in length. Their secondary structure includes four short double-helical elements and three loops (D, anti-codon, and T loops). Lineage: Eukaryota; Metazoa; Chordata; Actinopteri; Cypriniformes; Xenocyprididae. The record is from RNAcentral.